RNAcentral lists this long non-coding RNA (420 nucleotides) under Salmo salar (Atlantic salmon). RNAcentral describes it as "lncRNA (ENSSSAG00000090676.1)". Lineage: Eukaryota; Metazoa; Chordata; Actinopteri; Salmoniformes; Salmonidae. The record is from RNAcentral.
UAUGGCUGUGGUUAUGGGUGGGCCCAGUAGAAAGACCCUUGGUAAUAACCAGGUCCAGAGUAUGGCUGUGGUUAUGGGUGGGCCCAGUAGAAAGCCCCUUGGUAAUAACCAGGUCUAGAGUAUGGCUGUGGUUAUGGGUGGGCCCAGUAGAAAGCCCCUUGGUAAUAACCAGUCCAGAGUAUGGCUGUGGUUAUGGGUGGGCCCAGUAGAAAGCCCCUUGGUAAUAACCAGUCCAGAGUAUGGCUGUGGUUAUGGGUGGGCCCAGUAGAAAGCCCCUUGGUAAUAACCAGUCCAGAGUAUGGCUGUGGUUAUGGGUGGGCCCAGUAGAAAUCAGGUCUAUAGUGGACCCAGUAGAAAGCCCCUUGGUAAUAACCAGUCCAGAGUAUGGCUGUGGUUAUGGGUGGGCCAGUAGAAAGCCCC